RNAcentral lists this unclassified non-coding RNA (348 nucleotides) under soil metagenome. RNAcentral's name for it is "partial contains 5.8S ribosomal RNA, internal transcribed spacer 2, and large subunit ribosomal RNA". The stretch from base 1 to 120 matches the Rfam family "5.8S ribosomal RNA", at positions 35 to 154 of the family's 154-position model. The record is from RNAcentral.
GAUGAAGAACGCAGCGAAAUGCGAAAAGUAAUGUGAAUUGCAGAAUUCAGUGAACCAUCGAAUCUUUGAACGCACAUUGCGCCCGCUGGAACUCCGGCGGGCACGCCUGUCCGAGCGUCAUUUCAACCCUCAGGCCCCCCUUCGCGGGCGGGCCUGGUGUUGGGGCCCGGCCGCUACCCUGCGGCCGUCCCCUAAAUUCAGUGGCGGCCUCGCCGUGAUCCCUUGCGUAGUAAUGCACCUCGCACCGGAGAGCGCCGUGGCCGCGCCGUAAAACCCCCAAUUUUCAAUGGUUGACCUCGGAUCAGGUGGGAAUACCCGCUGAACUUAAGCAUAUCAAUAAGCGGAGGA